GACGAACGCUGGCGGCGUGCUUAACACCUGCAAGUCGAACGAAGUGGCGAACGGGUGAGUAACGCGUAAUCAACCUGCCCUUCAGAGGGGGACAACAGUUGGAAACGACUGCUAAUACCGCAUACUGAAGGAGGGGAUUGCGUCUGAUUAGCUAGUUGGAGGGGUAACGGCCCACCAAGGCGAUGAUCAGUAGCCGGGCUGAGAGGAUGAACGGCCACAUGGGGACUGAGACACGGCCCAGACGCCGACGGGAGGCAGCAGUGGGGAAUCUUCCGCAAUGGACGAAAGUCUGACGGAGCAACGCCGCGUGAGUGAUGACGGCCUUCGGGUUGUAAAGCUCUGUUAAUCGGGACGCGGUACCGGAAUAGAACGCCACGGCUAACGACGAGCAAGCAGCCGCGGAAUAC
This 407-nucleotide ribosomal RNA is filed under the name uncultured bacterium. RNAcentral's name for it is "partial 16S ribosomal RNA". It matches the Rfam family "Bacterial small subunit ribosomal RNA", at positions 28 to 526 of the family's 1533-position model. The record is from RNAcentral.